CAUUGUACCAAGGUCUCUCUCCUUCCCCAUCACUGCCACAACUUCAGCAGAAGAGACCUGCAGGGUCAAACCUUUAACUGGUGUCCCAACUCUGGAAACCCCUGUCAGACUCUGCCCUUCCUCCAGUCCUUCAAGGUUGCCACCCAAGGUCUCCUGUUCUCCAGAUAUGUGCCCCAUUGUAUACUCACAGCCCCUGUCCCCCACCCCCAUAUCCAACUACGCACUAUAAGAAGCCAGGCAACUCUGUAUUAUUUUCUAAGCACCACCGUUGCCAUGGAAACAAAGUACCGAAGGUACCCGUCUCCUGAUGCCUUCUUUCCCCACAACUGCUUCAUUCCAACUCACCACUAGUGAUGAUAGUUCAAAGUAUGGGUUACUAGAGUUUCAGUUCCCCAUAGCAGGGAAGGCUAUUCUGCCUUCUGCAGACCAAACACCACCCUGAGUGACCCUGGUAGGCUCCAUGCACAAAACCUCAUGACCACAGUCAGUGAAGGGCUCAGCUGGCGUGAGAGGUCGUGGAGAGGCGGAAGGAGAUCAGGUCUCUGCAAUGGUCACAGAAACAGUUCUGCUCUAGGGAGGAACAAGGGACACUACAAUCAGUCCUCAAGAAAAAACUCACUGCAGGUGCCAGGGGCUCUCCACCCACGCUCCCUAAACGAAUGGUACCAGCAGGCGUCCUAAGCCUGGUGCCUGCAGUGUUCAGCCUAGCUUUUCAUUUAUUUAUUUAUUUUGUG
RNAcentral lists this long non-coding RNA (734 nucleotides) under Fukomys damarensis (Damara mole-rat). RNAcentral describes it as "lncRNA (ENSFDAG00000027833.1)". The record is from RNAcentral. Lineage: Eukaryota; Metazoa; Chordata; Mammalia; Rodentia; Bathyergidae.